Molecule: ribosomal RNA, 424 nt
Filed under: uncultured prokaryote
Description: bacterial SSU rRNA
Rfam family: Bacterial small subunit ribosomal RNA
Source: RNAcentral
UGAGGAAUAUUGCACAAUGGAGGAAACUCUGAUGCAGCUAUGCCGCGUGAGUGAUGAAGGCCCUAGGGUUGUAAAGCUCUUUCGCAAGGGAAGAUAAUGACGGUACCUUGAUAAGAAGCCCCGGCUAACUUCGUGCCAGCAGCCGCGGUAAUACGAAGGGGGCAAGCGUUAUUCGGAAUCACUGGGCGUAAAGCGCGUGUAGGCGGAUUGGACAGUCAGAUGUGAAAGCCCGGGGCUCAACCUCGGAACUGCAUUUGAAACUAUCAAUCUAGUAUCACCUAGAGGGUGGUGGAAUUCCUGGUGUAGCGGUGAAAUGCGUAGAUAUCAGGAGGAACACCGGUGGCGAAGGCGACCACCUGGGGGUGUAUAGACGCUGAGACGCGAAAGCGUGGGGAGCAAACGGGAUUAGAUACCCCCGUAGUCC